GUUAUCGACUUCCACCCCAGUCGCUGACCCUACCGUGGUCGACUGCCUCCUUGCGGUUAGCGCAUCGCCUUCUGGAAAACCAACUCCCAUGGUGUGACGUGGGGUGUGUACUAGGCCCGGGAAUUAUUCACCGCGGCAGAAAGAUCCGCAAUUACUAACGUUUGAACUUGAUGCACGGAAAA
This 182-nucleotide ribosomal RNA is filed under the name uncultured bacterium. RNAcentral describes it as "partial 16S ribosomal RNA". The record is from RNAcentral.